This 775-nucleotide long non-coding RNA is filed under the name Zea mays. RNAcentral describes it as "long non-coding RNA (ZMAY_LNC002202)". The record is from RNAcentral. Lineage: Eukaryota; Viridiplantae; Streptophyta; Magnoliopsida; Poales; Poaceae.
CGGUGACCGUGUGAGCCUCAGAAUUAUCCCACCUCGCUUAACUUGGGAGGAGGAAGCCACUUUAAAAGGGAGAGCCACCCUUCCCCCAUUGGGCUAGUCUUUUGGGGCGAUUGGGCCUUUCCCUGAGUUGGGUGUGCUUAAUGAACUGUUGGGCUCCGGGCAACCCUAAUUUGUUGGGCCUCGGCCAACCCCACCUGGGCUGGGUGCAUCAUCUGGUAUCAGAGCUAGGGCCCAUUUUAAGAAGGUGGGAAUGAUGAGGACAUCCUCCACUAUUACCCGUUGGCAAAGACGCAAUUGGCCCAGUUGGCCCAAUUGUAGUCGGACGGUGACCGUGUGAGCCUCAGAAUUAUCCCACCUCGCUUAACUUGGGAGGAGGAAGCCACUUUAAAAGGGAGAGUCACCCUUCCCCCAUUGGGCUAGUCUUUUGGGGCGAUUGGGCCUUUCCCUGAGUUGGGUGUGCUUAAUGAACUGUUGGGCUUCGGGCAACCCUAAUUUGUUGGGCCUCGGCUGCCUUAAUAAGUACUAGAGAUAUAGGGAACGUAUCUGUUGCAAACCAACCCCUCUGUGCAACCGUGCAAACUUUUAAUAUGAACCACAUGAUGUUGAUCACACCUUUUCAAAUCCCCACUUCCACUUCUCCGUACGUCCCCUUGGAUCAACAUUAUGUGAUUCAGAUUAGAAGUUUGCACGGAGAGGUUGGUUUGCACCAGAUACAUUCCUAUAUAUAUUCUUCAUGAUUCUCUUCGGUGUACGUAAUAAGUAUCAUAAAAUUAAU